CCCCCCCCCCAAUAACAUUCAUUUUUACCAGAUGCACUGGUAAACUAUCUGCACUUCAGUGACCACAAAUGUUAAUACAAAGUUCAAUGAGAAUCUUUUCCAUCAACGUUGAUAAGCCAAGUCUGGAGGAGGCACAGCUCACUUUGAGACUUGCAUACAUUUUGAGUACUUGUGAAAUCGUCUGAUAACCACAGACUGCUUAAUGCAGAAAGCCCUGCCCACCAAGGCCAAUUCUGAAUCUGAAUAGCCUGGGGGUGAGGUUGUAACCAAUGGUUACAGGUCAUCAUCUUGUGCUAACGGCUCAGAACACUGAGGGCCAAAUUAUUUAGGGUUAACAUCUGAAGCAAGACCCAAGGACUGGCACUGGGGUGGGACAAAGAGUUUCGGAGUAACAUGUAUACUAUCCAUACAGAUUGGAAGGGAAAUUGCCUUUCCUUUAUUGAAGUAUUCAAUAGAUAUUGUGAAGCUUCAGGUGUGGGCUGAUACAUUAUUGAAUAAUAGGGACUUGGAAAUGUCUUUAUGAUUGUCAGUUACAGCACGAGAGAACAUUUGAUGUUCUGCCAUUAAGUUUGACAAUGGCCUUUUGAAAAUGUUGUAAUUGAAAAUGUGUAUUUUACACAAACGACCAUUCAAAUAAGCCUCAGCACCAAGCUGAAAAAUAACAAGAAAGCAACAAAUGUAGCUGAUGUCACUCCUUCAACCUCCCUGUGCCCAGUCUCCAAUCCCCAGGUCCAUUGUCUACACUCAACAGGCAACUUGAAACCACACAGAAAUUGCUGUCGGUGCUGGAAAUGUAACAUUUCUAAACACUGGAAUUGUGCUUUUUUUUUUUAACAGACACACAGUACUUCCACACACUGGAGAAAUGUAUGGGGGCAGUUUUUCCAUGAAGAACAAUAUUUAGCGUGUAAGCUUUUAAAACUAUAGGCCAGGUGACCAGCUGGUGGAGUUUCUUUGGUCCCACACUUUCAGCUUUGGAUUGGAAAUAUACACAACUGCUACCUAGAUUGUAACGUGGGUGUAUAUUUCAAAGUCACUGUUUAAAAAUGUGCGGAUGUAACAAAUGUAUUGUUACCUUUGGUCAAAAGCAAGGUCCAUGAUAUGAAACAGUCUUGUACUUCAUGUGUCAUCAAGGCAGGUUCUAGGCAUAAGCAACUUAAGCGGUCGCAUAGGGCCCUGGACCGCUAGGGGAGGGGGCCCCAAAUAAAUUUAGCUUGGGGCCCCCAAAAGGCUAGAGGCGGCCCUGUGUGUCAUAUACUGUAUAAAAUGUCAAACAAGCCUGUACAUCUGUAUGAGUAGAAUUAUGGUUAAUUACCAGAUUGUUGGUUGAUUACCAGAAAACCCUACCAAAGUGGAAUGGAAUGAAGGACACUUAACGGGAAUAGUGGAGAACCUUCUAAUUGCAGCAUAGUCACAUCAGUGUAUACCAAACCUCUCACUACUGCUGCUCAACAAGCCAGGCC
Molecule: long non-coding RNA, 1463 nt
Organism: Esox lucius (northern pike)
Lineage: Eukaryota; Metazoa; Chordata; Actinopteri; Esociformes; Esocidae
Source: Ensembl